GACGAACGCUGGCGGCGUGCUUAACACAUGCAAGUCGAACGGUGAAGCACCUUCCUUUUGGUGGGUGUGGAUGAGUGGCGCACGGGUGAGUAACACGUGAGUAACCUGCCCCCUUCUUCUGGAUAACCGCAUGAAAGUGUGGCUAAUACGGGAUAUUCUGUGCCUGCUGCAUGUUGGGUGUGGGAAAGCUGCGCUAUUGGGUGUUUUUGGUGGGGGGUGGGCUCGCGGCCUAUCAGCUGGUUGGUGGGGGGAUGGCGUACCAAGGCGGUGACGGGUAGCCGGACUGAGAGGGUGGACGGUCACACUGGGACUGAGACACGGCCCAGACUCCUACGGGAGGAAGCAGUGGUGAAUAUUGCACCAUGGGCGCAAGCCUGAUGCAGCGCCGCCGUGUGAGGGAUGGAGGCCUUCGGGUUGUAAACCUCUUUCGCAAGUGAAGCAGGCCUGUCCCAUGUGGGUGGGUUGACGGUAGCUGGAUAAGAAGCGCCGGCUAACUACGUG
This 501-nucleotide ribosomal RNA is filed under the name uncultured bacterium. Its description in RNAcentral is "partial 16S ribosomal RNA". It matches the Rfam family "Bacterial small subunit ribosomal RNA", at positions 28 to 507 of the family's 1533-position model. The record is from RNAcentral.